Coregonus clupeaformis (lake whitefish) is the source of this 131-nucleotide long non-coding RNA. RefSeq lists it as uncharacterized. Lineage: Eukaryota; Metazoa; Chordata; Actinopteri; Salmoniformes; Salmonidae. The record is from RefSeq and is a predicted model, not a curated record. The transcript has 3 exons.
CUUGACUUAAAUCCAACAGGUAGAAUACAUUAUGGUACAGAUGUAGUAUUGCUCUUAAAUCCAACAGGUAGAAGACAUUAUGGUACAGAUGUAUUCUGAGUCUUGUCAUAGGCAUGUAUGAUCCCGUCCGG